Molecule: ribosomal RNA, 416 nt
Filed under: uncultured bacterium
Lineage: Bacteria
Description: bacterial SSU rRNA
Rfam family: Bacterial small subunit ribosomal RNA
Source: RNAcentral
UCGAGGAUCUUCGUCAAUGGGCGCAAGCCUGAACGAGCGAUGCCGCGUGCGCGAUGAAGGCCUUCGGGUUGUAAAGCGCUGUCGAGGGGGAGAAAAGCCCCGCAAGGGGUUUGAUCUAUCCCUGGAGGAAGCUCGGGCUAAGUUCGUGCCAGCAGCCGCGGUAAGACGAACCGAGCGAACGUUGUUCGGAAUCACUGGGCUUAAAGGGCGCGUAGGCGGGUUGUCAAGUCUGGGGUGAAAUCCCGCGGCUCAACCGUGGAACUGCCUUAGAUACUGACGACCUCGAGGGAGGUAGGGGCGAGCGGAACGGGUGGUGGAGCGGUGAAAUGCGUUGAUAUCACUCGGAACUCCGGUGGCGAAAGCGGCUCGCUGGCCCUCUUCUGACGCUGAGGCGCGAAAGCUAGGGGAGCAAACGG